This is a long non-coding RNA of Prosopis cineraria, 512 nucleotides long. RefSeq lists it as uncharacterized. The transcript has 3 exons. The record is from RefSeq and is a predicted model, not a curated record. NCBI's taxonomy places the organism in Eukaryota, Viridiplantae, Streptophyta, Magnoliopsida, Fabales, Fabaceae.
AGAAGAGAAAAAUUUCCGGUGCACCUUCAGUAGGCGGAGAUAGGAAGGACGGAGGAAGAGGAAGGUGAUUCCUGUGUGCUCUGGAAAAUUCGAAAAAAACUCAGAGGGAGGAAGAGAAAAGAAAUGGCGGUGGGCCAUCCAUAAACUACUGAGCCCAAAUCUUGGUUCAGGAACUCUCUUACCCAAAAAAUCAUGUGUGGCAUCAAAAGGUCGGACAUUUGAUGAAACUCUUGGAGAGCAUUAAAUGGUUGAAAGGCAUGCAUUUCAAGUUCUUAUACAUCUCAAGGGCAUGCCCUUGACUUCCCUCCCUUCAAGCGCCAUCGGAUGUGCACACUCAUAACACCAACGUGUUGCUUCACUUGACAUCUAAAUGUGCGAGGAAGGCAGACCUCAGAAUCAUCAAUGUCUUCUUGACUACUUGAUUUGUUCAAACAAUUAUUGUGUCUCCACUCUUCCAAGUCUUCUCUACAGAUCACACGCCAUCCACAACCUCCUAUCUUGAGCAUCUCACG